RNAcentral lists this ribosomal RNA (484 nucleotides) under uncultured bacterium. RNAcentral's name for it is "partial 16S ribosomal RNA". It matches the Rfam family "Bacterial small subunit ribosomal RNA", at positions 28 to 507 of the family's 1533-position model. The record is from RNAcentral.
AUUGAACGCUGGCGGCAUGCUUUACACAUGCAAGUCGAACGGCAGCGCGGGCUUCGGCCUGGCGGCGAGUGGCGGACGGGUGAGUAAGGCAUCGGAACGUGCCCAGUAGUGGGGGAUAGCAUGACGAAAGCCGGAUUAAUACCGUAUACGACCUGAGGGUGAAAGGGGGGGACCGAAAGGCCUCGCGCGAUUUGAGCGGCCGUUGUCGGAUUAGCUAGUUGGUGGGGUAAAGGCUUACCAAGGCGACGAUCCGUAGCUGGUCUGAGAGGACGACCAGCCACACUGGGACUGAGACACGGCCCAGACUCCUACGGGAGGCAGCAGUGGGGAAUUUUGGACAAUGGGGGCAACCCUGAUCCAGCCAUGCCGCGUGCGGGAAGAAGGCCUUCGGGUUGUAAACCGCUUUUGUUCGGGAAGAAAUCCUCUGGGCUAAUACCCCGGGGGGAUGACGGUACCGGAAGAAUAAGCACCGGCUAACUACGUG